This 607-nucleotide ribosomal RNA is filed under the name Hanseniaspora uvarum. RNAcentral describes it as "eukaryotic LSU rRNA". It matches the Rfam family "Eukaryotic large subunit ribosomal RNA", at positions 33 to 655 of the family's 3401-position model. The record is from RNAcentral. Lineage: Eukaryota; Fungi; Ascomycota; Saccharomycetes; Saccharomycodales; Saccharomycodaceae.
UGCAAUUAUCCCAAUAGCGGAGGAAAAGAAACCAACUGGGAUUACCUUAGUAACGGCGAGUGAAGCGGUAAAAGCUCAAAUUUGAAAUCUGGUACUUUCAGUGCCCGAGUUGUAAUUUGUAGAAUUUGUCUUUGAUUAGGUCCUUGUCUAUGUUCCUUGGAACAGGACGUCAUAGAGGGUGAGAAUCCCGUUUGGCGAGGAUACCUUUUCUCUGUAAGACUUUUUCGAAGAGUCGAGUUGUUUGGGAAUGCAGCUCAAAGUGGGUGGUAAAUUCCAUCUAAAGCUAAAUAUUGGCGAGAGACCGAUAGCGAACAAGUACAGUGAUGGAAAGAUGAAAAGAACUUUGAAAAGAGAGUGAAAAAGUACGUGAAAUUGUUGAAAGGGAAGGGCAUUUGAUCAGACAUGGUGUUUUUUGCAUGCACUCGCCUCUCGUGGGCUUGGGCCUCUCAAAAAUUUCACUGGGCCAACAUCAAUUCUGGCAGCAGGAUAAAUCAUUAAGAAUGUAGCUACUUCGGUAGUGUUAUAGCUUUUUGGAAUACUGUUAGCCGGGAUUGAGGACUGCGCUUCGGCAAGGAUGUUGGCAUAAUGGUUAAAUGCCGCCCGUCUU